UUCUCCCCUCUCGGCUCUUCCUCUCCAAAAACCGAGCACGAAUUUGGAUUCAAUAUUUCGACCAUCAAAAGUUUGAUUUGAUCCAUAGAUCUUGAAGAGCCAGAAUGCCACGUCGUGGAAAAAGUAGCAAACCAAGCUAUGGCCGGACGACCGGUAGUCCGUACAUCCACAAGCCGCUUCCUAGCGGUGUUCCAGUACCUAUGUGCUUUUGUGGUGAUCCUUGCAAGGUAGACAUUUCAGAAGACGAGGAAACCUAUCGGCAGCGGUAUUGGAUGUGUUCCAAUUAUGCCUGGGAGCCUACGCCAAAACAACGCCGCAGUAAC
Molecule: long non-coding RNA, 323 nt
Organism: Sorghum bicolor (sorghum)
Lineage: Eukaryota; Viridiplantae; Streptophyta; Magnoliopsida; Poales; Poaceae
Exons: 3
Source: RefSeq, a predicted model, not a curated record